Sus scrofa (pig) is the source of this 1539-nucleotide non-coding RNA. NCBI's taxonomy places the organism in Eukaryota, Metazoa, Chordata, Mammalia, Artiodactyla, Suidae. The record is from RefSeq and is a predicted model, not a curated record.
AGGGUGUUUCAGGUGUUGCCAUUUCAGCCAUCUUGCAGGACGGGGCGGUCCUGCAAGUGAGAGGUCAGGUGUAAGUCAGGAGGAAAGGGCUGCAGAGGGCAGCUUCUUCUGGGGGCCUCCCGCGGUCUCCCCGAAGCACUGACUCAGCCCAACAGGGCAAAGCCAGGCUGUAUUUGACCCCUGAUAGACUCUCUCUCAGGGAUCUCCCUGCACGGUCACAACCUUAGGCUUUGUUGGCCACUGGGGUGCCAGGGGUCCGCUGCUGCUGGGAACUGACCAGACCCAAGAAGAGACUGAGGAGACCCCACAGCAAAAGCUGAUGGUCUCAGUCCUCUUCCUUCAACUGAGGAGAAGUGGCAAGUUGCUGAGUUUUCCAAGGAUGAGCUGAGGGUACCACACCAAAGAGGAAUCCAUACUUUUCCCGGAAGGUAUUAAGCUACUGCACUUCUAAGUACAAGGGGUCCCACCACCAACAGCGAGGUGACCUAGAUGCCAAAAUCAAGGUAAAGAGACAAUCGACCAAAACACUCACUGAAUGAAACCCAGAUACGCUGUGGAGACGUGAAGAAUAGUUCGGGAUGUCUUGAAGGGACACUGAAAGACUGUGGUUGGACAACAAAGCCUCUUGGAGCACCGAGGCUCAUGGCUAACAGUUGGCUUGUUGAAGUGUGAGAUCCUUCUUCAGUUUUCGGCAGGAAUGUGUCCAGGCGGGGAAGAGCCGCAUAUGUUUAUGUGCACUUCAGUGUCCUUUAUGGUUAGUUUCCCCAAAGGCUUAUUGUGCUUAUUGCAUCAUUUGUUUUUAUUUGGAAGAGUACUUUGGAAGCUUCAGAGCGGUUGUAGAGUCAUUACCGUCUCUAGCUGUCCGUGGUUAUGACUGCCUGUGGAAAUUGUGUGGAAGGGAAAGAAAAGUAAAUAAAAGUCCCUCCUCGAGCCCUCGCCUCUUUAUCUGCAUUUCCCAUCACUUGGAAUUAGGGCCCCAGCCCUGUGGGAUUACACUGGACCAACCUCAUUCUGGUUUAUGACAUUUGUCUCCCAAGAGGGGGCUACAUGAACUUUGGGAUGUGGGUGAACCAUUUGCAUGAAAAAUUAAAGCGGGCGUAUUUAUUCUGAAGGGCAGAAUGACCCUAUAAGAUUCCUGACGGGGGAAUUUAUUUUUCCCAUCCUUCAAAUGAGGUAACAAGUCAACUCUCUAUCCAGACCUGGGGAAGUUGAUGCUUCGCACUAAAAUUGUAUGAAAUGAGUAACCUGCCAGGUCCCUGGAAAAGCAAUUCAUCUUAGGAAAAUGGAAUUAGUUUUAACUACACUAUUAAGUACUAUAAACUAUCCUCCUGGGCCCAGCCUGUUAAGCACCCAAAUUAUUUUUCAACAUGCUUAUGUUUCCUUUUCCAACACCAAUGAGAACUUGAAAGAGAGGAGUCUUAUUAUUCAAAAUAUACUUUUUCAUAAUAUACAAAAAAAACACAACCCAUUAACAAUAUCUUCUCUGGCACACUUUGUAUAGUUUUGUAUGUAUAGCCUGGUAAAGCUAUUCGUAGUUCU